ACGAUGAUAGGAAAAGUAGGAAACCAAUGGAGUGUUUCAAGUUGAAUGUGCCUGGAAAAAGUCAAAUCAAUGGUUGUUCCAAUCGAGUGGAAGAGAGAUAGAUGCGGCGCAAGCGUACAAUGAGCAUAACGGGACACAGCGUAAUGGGAUAAUGUGCGUUACGGGACACUUUUUCGUGCGUGCAGCCGGUGUUCAUCAAUUUAUUAGACGUUGUCACGUUAAAAAGACUAGAUAAAAGACUACUCUACUAGUGCAUUAAACAAGACACAGCUAUACAGCCAAGAUUAGCUGUGUGACACAGAAAUAGAUAUUCAACUUCAAGGUGUCCAGUACAUCAUUAAGAAUGAGUUCAGUCGAUAUACCUGCAGUCGAAUCCAUCAUUGGACCAUUUCGCUGAGCUACUAGCUGAACCCCCGGACCAAGAAAAUGAUUGUGGUUCAAAAUGUGUGUUAAUUUCUGCAUGCAGUCAUCCAAUACGUCAAGUCUUCGUUAGUAGAUCCCAUGCCAUCGGAUUUUGUUAGCAUCUUGUUGGGACACGAUCAUUUGGAUGCUAAUCGUUUCCAAGUGAAAUAAUUCACUAAUCAACUUGACGAGAUUAGUUUUACAUUUUGCUUCACACUCUAUUUAAUUGAUUUGUAUUUUUUUAAUUGAGUACUUUAAACUCGUAGGUCCUGCUCUUCAAGCGUUGUGUUAAGCCUUAGCAUAUACUUAUAUUUACUAUUAAAUCAAAAUUUCUUAAUAAGUAAAUAUUUGAGAUUAACAUAUAAUUUUUUUUUUUACAUAACUACUUUUCAUCAAAAUGCAUAUGUCUGUUAAAAAAUUCUUCUUUGUUGUUAAACAGUGGUAUAUGUAUCAAAUAAUUCUUCAGCUUCCAACCCACUGCCAAAUACAGCAACAAACUAAUUAAGACACAUGAAGGAUGCUUGUUCUGUAAACACCUUCCCCUGCCUGCCCGGGGUGGUUCAUGGUUCAGGUACAAGCCUUGACUAGGAGGCUCACGAAGAGUCCUCCGCUGCUGUAGAUCCUGUACAGUCCCUCACACAAUGAGGCAGUGUCAUACAAUAACAAGAAUAUUCUAAUAUAUACAAUUUUAUUUAGCAUAUAUAUUACAUAAGAAUGGUUCACGUGAGCUCAAAACUACAGCAGAAUAAAAUAUGUGGAUACAGAUGUCUCUUACUUUAAUAUAGGUACCUAUGUUUUUAAUGGAUAACUAUUUUUUUGUUAUUUAUUUAGCACAGCCAUAGGAAAUUUUACUCUCUAUAUGUGUAACAAAAAGUCAAUUUUUUAAUCUUACAUUUAUAUUAUAUACCUACAUUAUUUUCUCAUUUUUAAAAUUCAAAUUUUAUGAAAUUAAAAAACAAGUCAGUAUAUUUUCUUCCUGAUUUCCAAAAGACACGCGUGUAUUUACACUCAUAGUCAUAAUGAGAGCAUGACUGGACUUCACGAUGAAAAUAAUAGUUUGUAGAUCCCCACUGUGUUGCACUUGGUAUGCUGUUGCGUUGGUUCUUCACUUGGAGUCUGCCGGUUGCAUCGCCCACGGAGUCUGGAACACACACUCAUGCAUUACAGCAAGCACAACAGUUCUGAAACCAGCAUUUAACAAAAAUCUAUGUGCGGAACGAACAUAAGUUCUGGCGUGCGGUCUCGGCUCGGACCCCAGGGCGGGCACGGACGCAGCGCGGCGGCUGUGGGGCCUAACUGGCACGGGACACACUCGCUGCCUGGCCAACCAACGAGCGGCACAUGGAGAGUUCAUUCAGGGCGCCAACUGGCAACUCGACUGCGCGCCCGUGCACAGUUGAACACGGGGCGUGACGUCACCGCAGUGGCCGAUGCACGACCGGUAACGGCUUGACGGAACUCCCAGACUGUUACAGCCGCCAGGGACACUGAUCAAGACUAAGUUGAAAUAUAAAUGCAAGAUUUGUGAUCUGUGUAUUCUUUUCCCCGAGGUUCACGUUUUAUCCCAGCAGACUUAACGUGCCGAACAUUAACCGUCAUGCCGGACCAGUAUUGCCACGAGGUGUCGCCCGAACGAACCCAAAGGAAAGAGAACAUUUCCAAAGUGGAAUAUAUUAUUAUAAUAUACAGUAGAAUCUCGAUUAUCCGAGCAUCCUGUUAACGAGGCAUUCUGUUGACGGGGUUCUCAAUUAAAAAUUAAACUUUUCUAUUUUGGGGGAGGGGGGGGGGGGGGAACAAGCCCACAAGUGUAAUUCAUUAGGGAAGGGACAAGAAGGGAGUAAAACUAAAAACUACGUAUCAAAAGUAGAAACAAACGAACAAAGAAACAAGCUAGAAUUAAUAAUUAGUGUCGGUAAUACUUGUACAUUUGUUUUUGAUGAAUUAUAUUUUGCUGUAUUGUAUAACCUAAAUACAUUUGAAUUAAAUUAUCCUGGAUUUUUUCUUAUCCGUGCUGACCUUCCGCUCCCAUUACCCCGGAUAAGCAAGGUUCUACUGUAGGUUGGUUAUGGUUCUGUUAUAAGGGUUAUUUGUGAAAAAAGGUUACGUGAAGUAAUUUUUACAAUUGGAAUGAUGUAUUCUUUCAAUAAGUUGACUGUCCUGUUUUGCUAUAACAUAACAGUUACCACCGCGGCACAAAGGCGCUGACUAUCCGCCGUUCUGUGCUGCUUCCGCUCAGGUGUGAAGUCCUCAUCCCAAGAGGUAGGAUCCUGCCAGUACCCAGAGGAAUUAAUUGUGAUGCUUCACUGACCUAGUAAUUAGGUUUCAUAAUUUAAAUAGUCUAAAACUCUUUCAACAUAUCCAUGAGGCCUGAGUCGGGUGCAUUGAACUUUGAUACUCAGAUUCGUACUGUACUGCAUUUUAUCAGCAUCAGUGUUAUUUUGUAUCAACGGUGUGGAGUUGCCAAAUGUAAUAACGAUGUUUUUCAGAGUUCUCAUGUUGGUACUUGACCACGUGGUGACUACCUCUAGUGACCACGAGUCCACAGGCAGUGUUCAGUUAAUAUCCAACAGCGGGCCAGGUGUUCUCUGGUAGCACAGUCUCGUGCCAACACAGGCGACAUCACGCCGUGAGAUAGUCUCACCAGACCUGUGUGCCCGUCUCACAAGGUGGCGCCCACGGCAUUACUAUCAUCAUUUUAGACACACCACUUAUUAGAGAUGAGUGAAAUCGUUACUUUUCAAUACCGGUAAUGGCAGUUACGGUUCCAUCUCAAUAACCGGUUAUUUAAAUGGUUAUCGUUACCAGUUAUUAAACGUAAUAAUCUGUCUUCCAUCCCACACUAAUUCAUCAAAUUAUGGUAAUUUUAUUUAUUUAAUGAUAAUUUAGUUACGAUUGUAUAUGAAAUUAUAUACAAUUUGAUUCAAACACAUUGAUUAUUUGCAUGAUUAUGAAGCAUUGCCAGAGUGUCAAUGAUUGAAACCUUUGACAAAAUUUAGCUCAUAUUUCGCUAAAAUUUGAUGUGUAUAUGCUUUAUUUUAACCUACCUGCCACUUCCUAAUAGUGUUAGGUAAUCAAGAAUUGGUUAAAAUGUCGACCGCGAGCAGAUAACUCCGUCGAUCGCGAAUAAAGAACUAUUUCGGGCUAUCGGGAAUAAGUAACUGUUUCGAUUGAUCGCGAAUAAAGAACUGUUUCGGGGUUUCGGGAAUAAAGAACUGUUUCGGGCUAUCGGUAAUAAAAACUGUUUCGGGCUAUCGGGAAAUAAGAACUGUUUCGGUGGAUCGCGAAUAAAGAACUCUUUCGGGCUAUUGGGAAUAAAUAACUGUUUCUCUCGAUCGCGAAUAGAGAACUGUUUCGGUCGAUCGCAAAUCGAGAACUGAUCUGUCGAUCUCGAAAUUAUAACUGUUCAUGUGAUUGCAAGUACAAAAAUGUUUACUUCAAAUAAUAGCAGAUAGCUCUGUUCGGUUUAUAACACUGGAAUCUAACACUUGUAAUUUUAAUUUCAAAAAUAAUUAUUACUUACAUUCGCUGGAUUAAUAAUUGUUACAUUUUCAGUGCUGGUAGUUGAAGUAGGUCUGCUCACUGGUAAAAUUACGAGAUGUUUCAGACGAUAAGUGUUUUCGUAAAUUAUUUGCUGUACUUUUGUAACACAACUUAUGCUUACAAAUUUUGCACAGUGCAUGCUCAGUACUGACCGGAAUAAAAAAGUUCCAAAUGUUACUUGUUUUCCGUCUGUUGUAUUUAGUAUUUAUUGUAUGGUUGUCUCAAAAGCUCUUUAAAACAUCACGUUAGUACAUUACCGAAAAUAAUAAUACUUAAAAAAAAACUGAAGGCAGUUUGUAACUGGAACUUAACUAUUUGAAGAAGAUAAAAAAUAAACUACUAAACGAAUAUUGUAUAACCGAGAAAUGUGAAGGGGGAGCACCUGUAAAUAGAUAAUGUCUAUUAAACAGUUUAAUUAAAA
Bacillus rossius redtenbacheri is the source of this 4363-nucleotide long non-coding RNA. RefSeq lists it as uncharacterized. Lineage: Eukaryota; Metazoa; Arthropoda; Insecta; Phasmatodea; Bacillidae. The transcript has 2 exons. The record is from RefSeq and is a predicted model, not a curated record.